GCCAGCUCAGUUGGUAGAGCGCUCCACUGGAAUUGGAGAGGUCCUUGGUUCGAUAUCAGGAUCAGGCG
Molecule: transfer RNA, 68 nt
Filed under: Ixodes scapularis (black-legged tick)
Lineage: Eukaryota; Metazoa; Arthropoda; Arachnida; Ixodida; Ixodidae
Rfam family: tRNA
About the family: Transfer RNA (tRNA) molecules are approximately 80 nucleotides in length. Their secondary structure includes four short double-helical elements and three loops (D, anti-codon, and T loops).
Source: Rfam by way of RNAcentral